Molecule: non-coding RNA, 194 nt
Organism: Oryza glumipatula
Lineage: Eukaryota; Viridiplantae; Streptophyta; Magnoliopsida; Poales; Poaceae
Source: Rfam
UUCAAAUACAACUGUGAGUUUCUAUAUCUAAUGUUUGACUGUCUAUUUUAUUUGAAUUUUUUUAUGAUUAGUAUUUUUAUUAUUAUCAGAUGAUAAAAUAUGAAUAUUACUUUGUACGUGACUUAUUUUUUCAUAAAUUUUAAAUAAAAUGGACGGUCAAACGUUACACACAGAAACCCACAACUGUACUUAAA